This 233-nucleotide ribosomal RNA is filed under the name uncultured bacterium. Its description in RNAcentral is "partial 16S ribosomal RNA". It matches the Rfam family "Bacterial small subunit ribosomal RNA", at positions 118 to 346 of the family's 1533-position model. The record is from RNAcentral.
UGAGGAACAUGACCUUCGGCGGGGGAUAGCCAGCCCAACGGCCGGGUAAUACCGCGUACGACCACAUGGGGACAUCCCUGAGUGGUGAAAGCAGCAAUGCGCCGAUGGAGUGCCUCGCGGCCUAUCAGCUAGUUGGUGAGGUAACGGCUCACCAAGGCGACGACGGGUAGCUGGUCUGAGAGGAUGGCCAGCCACAGUUGGGACUGAGACACGGCCCAGAUCCCGUAACGGGG